This is a non-coding RNA of Phrynosoma platyrhinos (Desert horned lizard), 71 nucleotides long. NCBI's taxonomy places the organism in Eukaryota, Metazoa, Chordata, Lepidosauria, Squamata, Phrynosomatidae. The record is from the annotation of a GenBank genome assembly.
GCCAACAUGGUAUAGUGGUUUGGGUGUUGGACUAUGAUUCUGGAGACCAGGGUUCGAUUCCCUGCUUGACC